UACAGAGGGGGCAAGCGUUAUUCGGAAUUAUUGGGCGUAAAGGGCGCGUAGGCGGCCUUGUAAGUGACGGGUGAAAUCCCUCGGCUUAACCGAGGAACUGCCUGUCAAACUGCGAGGCUUGAGACCGGGAGAGGUGAGUGGAAUUCCCAGUGUAGCGGUGAAAUGCGUAGAUAUUGGCAGGAACACCAGUGGCGAAGGCGGCUCACUGGACCGGUACUGACGCUGAUGCGCGAAAGCGUGGGGAGCAAACAGG
This 253-nucleotide ribosomal RNA is filed under the name uncultured bacterium. RNAcentral's name for it is "partial 16S ribosomal RNA". It matches the Rfam family "Bacterial small subunit ribosomal RNA", at positions 524 to 776 of the family's 1533-position model. The record is from RNAcentral.